AUCCACUGCCAUAAAGUUAUGCUCAAUCGAUCAAAUUGACUAUUAAGGUUAUGGCUUUAAAGUGGGUU
This 68-nucleotide transfer RNA is filed under the name Anadara kagoshimensis. RNAcentral's name for it is "tRNA-Asp". The record is from RNAcentral. Lineage: Eukaryota; Metazoa; Mollusca; Bivalvia; Arcoida; Arcidae.